Molecule: RNA transcript, 4232 nt
Organism: Grus americana (Whooping crane)
Lineage: Eukaryota; Metazoa; Chordata; Aves; Gruiformes; Gruidae
Gene: DELE1
Gene name: DAP3 binding cell death enhancer 1
Exons: 13
Source: RefSeq, a predicted model, not a curated record
AUCCCUACACGCCUGGUGGGCUCAGGCCGCCUGAAAACGCUCCUCGGCGCUUUGCCCGUACGGGUUGCCCUCUCCCCCGUAACCCGGUGUAGGGGCCGCCGCCACCCCGCGGGAGGCCCGCCGGGAUUAGCCGAUCUCCUCAUCCGCUCUGCCUUCUCUAUGGCCCAGGCCGCCGUCGCUCGGCAACGCGCCCUCUCUAUGGUCCCGCGGGCGGGAUGUGGCGGCUGCUGCUGGGCCGCGGCCUGGGCCGCUGCUGGCCGCCCCCCGCCCGCCCCGCCUGCGCCGCAGGCCCCGCCGCCGAGCCGCCCGACGGCCGCGGCCCCAGCCCCGAGCGAGCACCCGGCUGUCAGGAUGGACGGCCCCGGGAUGGCCGGGAGAGAGGAGGAAGGCAGCAGCCCCUGCCCGGCCUGGUGCCCCGCUACUCCGUGCUGGAGGCAGUCACCUGGGGAGCACUCGGUGCGCUUCUUCUGCAGUUGGUCAGACAGAUCUCGUGGCUGAGAUCGCUGCCGGACACCAGGAGAGAGCACAGGUCUCUCUGGCUUUCUUCGUUGCCCUCUCAGCAGACAGUGGUGACCGAAGCCUCAGCCAGCUGUCCCAGUGCACAGCUGGGGUCCUGCUUCCUGCAGAAAGGAAAUCCAGAGGUUGCACCAGAGAAUUCAUCCUCAAGCAUCCCCUCGGGGCAAGGAGAGAGCCAGCCCUGGGCAGAAGUGGGGGAGUUCCAAAUCCCUGAGAGCUCCAGCUUGGGGCCAGUUCUCCACAGUGCAAAGGGUGACCCAGCUCAGCGAGGGCGUUUAGAGGAAGCUGCUUUCCAGUUGCAGCAGAUUUUCCGGAUUGACAUUUCCAUUGCGUUGAAUAUCCUCGGGAUUGAAAGUAUGAGAGCGGGCCAUUACAGGAUAGCCUAUACCUGCUUCAAACUGGCAGCAGAUCGAGGCUACAGCAAAGCCCAGUUCAACGUGGGUCUGUGUUAUGAGCAUGGCAGAGGCACGGAAAAAGACUUGGAAAAGGCAGCAUUUUAUUACUACCACGCAGCUAGCAGCUGUCACCCCAUGGCACAGUACCACUACGCUAGGUACCUCUUAUGCCACAGACCUGAAAAUGAGUGGGACAGGCAUCAGAAGGCAGUGACUUUCCUGGAGCAAGCAGCAAUGGCCGGGAUUACAGAGGCACAGGCUUAUCUUGGAGUUUUCUACAUGAAAGGGCUGCAACCUCAGGAAAAGAGAGGUCUGAAGUACCUGCUGCUGGCAGCAAAGAAUGGCGAUGCCCAAAGCAGGUAUCACGUGGGUGUUUGCUAUGAGAAGGGCCUUGGAGUGCAGCAGAACCUGGCAGAAGCGAUGAGGCACUACCGACAGUCAGCUGCUGCGGGGAACAGGAAUGCUCAGCAGAGACUGCGAGUGUUAGAAGAGGAGGUGGAAGAUGUGCAAGCAAAGCAUCCAUUCCCUUCUGGAAUAAGAGCCUCUUCCUCUAGUCCCUGUUUCUGGGCUAUUGAACGUGUGCCUGCAGGCCUCCACACCACCCAGCCACGACAAUCUGCCCUCACCCUGCCCCACUCUAGGAGCGCAGAUGAACUCCACGUGAUGAUGCUCGGCAGCGCAGGAUGGAGCCAUGCCCUCGGAAACAGGGCAACGCCACUGGAACUGCAGUGCUUGGAGCCCCACCACUGCUGUUCUUAGAACAGUGGUUGGAAGGCACAAACUGUGGUACGGAAGAGAGUCCUACGUGUGCACGAUCCAGAAGCAUUUACCUGCCAUCCGGGCACCGCUGUCCAGCAAGCUGCCUACAGAACAGGAGCACUGUCUUCCAGUCCGAGGCUCUUCCCAUGUGCCGACAGCUGCCGCAGAAGCCCUGAGCCUGUUUCGUUGUGAACUUGGACCUUCUGGGACAAAAUCAUUUCAAAGAGGGUGCUCAUUUCUGAAAGGAAAGUGCUGGCAAGUCUUGUCCCAGCAGCAUUCGAGUCAGCCCCAGCACCUUUGCCAAAGGUCUCAAAGGUCCUUGGUUUCUCCUGCCUUGCAGCUUCCUCAUCCUGAGGUGAAUGCAGAGAGUCGGGGGAGAAGACGUUGUCCUUGUAAUUACCAGUGAGCGGCAAGGAGAGUCGAGCCACCCAUGCUGGGUCAGCAGCCGUCAGCCUCUUGAGGGCCAGCUCUGGAGGGAGUGAAAACAAGAACUGUUGGUGAGAUGUGUAGUAGAGUAGAGGAGAGACUCACAGGAGUGAAGAGGGGAAAAAAAAAAAAUACAUAUUGAGAAAUGAGGAGACUUCCAGAAAUCAGCUGUGAGACGUUUGAUUGUAAACAGGUGUAGACAUAAGUUACCAGCAGCUUAAAAAAACCAAACAAACUAGAACUGGUUUAAAACUACUGGGUUUUUGUUGUUGUUGGGUUUUUUUUAAUGUAGUAACCAUUAGGAUAACUUUUGAUUUCUCAUUUGUUGCAGCCUCAAGUGGCACUUCACUAAAUCCUUAGCAAAGCUGAGAAAGUGAGGGUUUAGGACUGGCUAAAGGGGAGAUGACAAUGGAAAGCUUUCAAGGGGGAAGUAUCAGACAAAAAGAAGGUCACUAGUGGACUUCUCUUAAGGGUCACUCUAGGGUGGGAAUUUGCUGCUAAGCCGUCAUAUUGAGACCAAAAAGAAAUGGAUUAUUGUGAGAACAAUAACAACAGGAGUAGAAUGAAAUUUUGGAUUAUAAAACACACAGCUGGAUGGUUGAAAACUAGUAACAAAAAAUUGAGCUAUAAAGUAGUUGUUCAUCAACUGGAAGCAGAUGAGGAGCAGUGGGAGCCUGGCGUGGGUGCUGGCUGCAGGCUUGUUAGCGUACCAGUAAUGCGAUUCUGCCCCAAAAUGGGCAAACGAAAUCAUACAAUGUGUUGGUCAAGGUAUUCCCUGUUGGCAUGAAGAGACAUGUCCGUGAUAUUGUUACUAGGUCUGGCGAGACCUGAUUAGGAGUAUUACAUGCAAAUCUGAUUAUCCAUCCAUAGAUAAGAGGAUCUGAAAUGACAGAAGUGCAGGGGAAACUACUGAGAGGAAAACAGGAAUGAGUCCAGGCUUACAUGAUGGAGACCCCAAGAGGUAGGGGUUGCUUAGCCUAAGGAAACAAACGCUCACCAGGGAUCUGACUGCAACCUGUUGUUAUUUUGAUGAAAUAAGCACCGACAAAGGAAAUCUUUAUGCUUAAAAUAGUGUUGGCAAAAGAAGAAGUGAUUGUAACUGUCCAUGAAUAAACAUACACUGGAAAUUAAAGGAAGGACCCCGUAGCAGGGUGAGCCUGGAAUAGCUUCCUCAUCAGACGGCAGGAAAGGAAACGGGGGCUCUUGUUUUCAAGGUAGAGCUUUGCAGUUGGUAAACAAGACUCCGUGAUGUGGUGCACAGAUGCUGCCUUCCAGCCCCGCAUGGCGUCAUUUCCAAAGCGUAACCUAGAACCACUGCGAGGUUCAAAGCGACCACCGGGUUUGUGAAACACUUGAGUCAGAGAGCAGCAAAGCAAAUAACUGGUGUCUGGCCAUAAAACACCAAGUACCACAAUAGUCCCCAUCAGAUGGCAAGAGCUGGUCUCAUUAUUACAACUAUGCAGCUCUGACACAAAGUGACCUCUGAGAGGAGGGUCACCAUACUUGUGCAGUUAUGCUGCUUCCAGAAGCAUAAUCGAUACCCUACCACAGCCUGGGACACGUGGUCCUCAGUUGGUGGCUAGUCAAGCACUGAGACAAGUCUCCUUCCUCAGCCACUACAUAAUUAAUCCUUUUUCUCUGAAAAACAACAGUCUCCCAGGGUCGGUAGGAUGGGGGUGAGGGCUGGGAUUCAAAACCUGGUCAGGAGAGAAAGGCAGACACAUCACUUAGAUUUUUGUUUCACCUGAAGACCCAAAGUUGGUUUGUGCUGCUUAACUUUCAGGAUUUUUUCUGCAAUCUCAGUAUUUUCUUUCAGUCACAGUGACUGUUCCUUAAAAGCUCUCCCAAGCAUGCUGAAGUCUCACAUUUUUGCUCUGAAAUAUCCACAGUUCUCUCCUCUUCGGUCUGCAAGAAGCCACUGCAUUCCCCGAAUAUUUUGAUGCCUCAGCUCUGGAGCAGAGCACAACAGUAGUCUGCUCGCUGUGGGGAGAGCAGAGACUCUGUAGGCUGAUGGUCUUGUGACCAUGAAACCUUAUAAUUAGGUACGUGUAAUUUGACCAAUAACUCUUUACUGCCUUAUUUUAAUGGUGUUUUGGGGGUUUUUUGUUUUUAUAAUCAAUAAAGUUAUAUCUCUCA